RNAcentral lists this ribosomal RNA (450 nucleotides) under uncultured bacterium. RNAcentral describes it as "partial 16S ribosomal RNA". It matches the Rfam family "Bacterial small subunit ribosomal RNA", at positions 354 to 796 of the family's 1533-position model. The record is from RNAcentral.
GUGGGGAAUAUUCCGCAAUGGACGAAAGUCUGACGGAGCAACGCCGCGUGAGUGAUGAAGGUUUUCGGACUGUAAAGCUCUGUUGUUUAGGACGAAAGUGCCUGUUGCGAAUAGUUACAGGUAUUGACGGUACUGAACGAGGAAGCCACGGCUAACUACGUGCCAGCAGCCGCGGUAAUACGUAGGUGGCAAGCGUUGUCCGGAAUUAUUGGGCGUAAAGAGCAUGUAGGCGGGAAUCUAAGUCUGUUGUGAAAAUGCGGGGCUCAACCCCGUAUUGCGAUGGAAACUGGGUUUCUUGAGUGCAGGAGAGGAAAGGGGAAUUCCCAGUGUAGCGGUGAAAUGCGUAGAUAUUGGGAGGAACACCAGUGGCGAAGGCGACUUACUGGGCCGUAACUGACGCUGAGGCGCGAAAGCGUGGGGAGCGAACAGGAUUAGAUACCCUUGUAGUCC